GAUGAACGCUAGCGGCAGGCCUAACACAUGCAAGUCGAGGGGCAGCACAAGGUAGCAAUACUGAGGUGGCGACCGGCGCACGGGUGAGUAACGCGUAUGCAACCUGCCCCCGUCUGGGGAAUAGCCCGUCGAAAGGCGGAUUAAUGCCCCAUAGUUCUCCUUACCGGCAUCGGUGAGGAGGUAAAGGUUACGGACGGGGAUGGGCAUGCGUGCCAUUAGCUUGUUGGCGGGGUAACGGCCCACCAAGGCUACGAUGGCUAGGGGAGCUGAGAGGCUGAACCCCCACACUGGUACUGAGACACGGACCAGACUCCUACGGGAGGCAGCAGUGAGGAAUAUUGGUCAAUGGGCGCAAGCCUGAACCAGCCAUGCCGCGUGCAGGAAGACGGCCCUACGGGUUGUAAACUGCUUUUCUGCGGGAAGAACGGCCCCUACGUGUAGGGGUGUGACGGUACCGCAGGAAUAAGGAUCGGCUAACUCCGUGCCAGCAGCCGCGGUAAUACGGAGGAUCCGAGCGUUAUCCGGAUUUACUGGGUUUAAAGGGUGCGUAGGCGGCUCCCUCAGUCAGCGGUGAAAUGUAUCGGCUUAACCGAUAAACUGCCGUUGAUACUGGGGAGCUUGAGUUGGGUUGAGGCAGGCGGAAUGUGCGGUGUAGCGGUGAAAUGCAUAGAUAUCGCACAGAACGCCGAUUGCGUAGGCAGCUUGCCAAGCCCACACUGACGCUGAGGCACGAAAGCGUGGGGAUCAAACA
This 751-nucleotide ribosomal RNA is filed under the name uncultured Bacteroidota bacterium. Its description in RNAcentral is "bacterial SSU rRNA". It matches the Rfam family "Bacterial small subunit ribosomal RNA", at positions 28 to 774 of the family's 1533-position model. Lineage: Bacteria; Pseudomonadati; Bacteroidota. The record is from RNAcentral.